Molecule: ribosomal RNA, 343 nt
Filed under: Acidobacteria bacterium enrichment culture clone C42_08_H05
Lineage: Bacteria; Pseudomonadati; Acidobacteriota
Description: bacterial SSU rRNA
Rfam family: Bacterial small subunit ribosomal RNA
Source: RNAcentral
GAUCCUGGCUCAGAAUCAACGCUGGCGGCGUGCCUCAGACAUGCAAGUCGAACGAUUAAAGCUCUCUUCGGAGAGUGCAUAGAGUGGCGCACGGGUGAGUAACACGUAAGUAAUCUACCCUCGAGUGGGGAAUAACAUCGGGAAACCGAUGCUAAUACCGCAUAAUGCAGCGGCACCGCAAGGUGACAGUUGUUAAAGAUUUAUCGCUUGAGGAGGAGCUUGCGGCAGAUUAGCUAGUUGGUAAGGUAAUGGCUUACCAAGGCUACGAUCUGUAACCGGUCUAAGAGGACGGUCGGUCACACUGACACUGAAUAACGGGUCAGACUCCUACGGGAGGCAGCAG